AUGCCCAAGCAAGAUGCAAGCCCAUCGCAUCAAGCUGUUCAGAGGCGUUCGAGCCCCACCGCCCCCUCCAGCCUAGUUACCAUCACACAUCGGGGGGAGCUGCAGCUGCGGCAGCCGGCCGGGUCACCGUGAGCAGCGAAGCCGAGACCCAGCAGCCGCCACCCGCCCCCGCCCCCAGCGCUGCGGACACCCAGCCCCGCACCACGGGCAGCGGCGCAGGGAGCGGUGGCCCGGACGGUGCCUGCCGGCGGGGACAAGAAGGUCAUCGCAACGAAGGUUUUGGGGACAGUAAAAUGGUUCAAUGUAAGAAACGGAUAUGGUUUCAUCAACAGGAAUGACACCAACGAUGUAUCUGUACACCAGACUGCCCUAAAGAAGAAUAAUAACCCCAGGAAGUACCUUCGCAGAGCAGGAGAUGGAGAAACUGUGCAGUUUGAUGUGGUUGAAGGAGAAAAGGGUGCGGAGGCGGCAAAUGUUACAGGCCCUGGUGGGAUUCCAGUUCAAGGCAGUCAAUAUGCCUCAGACCGUAACCAUCACAGACGCUCUCCACGUCGCAGGGGUCCCCCACGCAAUUACCAGCAGAGUUACCAGAACAGUGAGAGUGGGGAAAAGAAUGAGGGAUCGGAGAGCGCUCCUGAGGGCCAGGCCCAACAACGCCGCCUACCGCGGGCGAAGGUUCCCGCCUUGCUACACGCGGAGACCCUAUGGGCGGCGACCACAGCAUCCCAACCCUCCUGUGCAGGGAGAAGUGAUGGGGGGUGCUGACAACCAGGGUGCAGGAGAACAAGGUAGACCACCAGUAAGACAGAAUAUGGAUCGCGGUUAUAGACCACGAUUCCGCAGGGGCCCUCCUCGCCAAAGACAGCCCAGAGAGGACGGCAGUGAAGAGGAUACAGAGAAUCAAGUAGAUGAGACCCAAGGUCAGCAGCCGCCUCAACGUCGGUACCGCCGCAACUUCAAUGACCGACGCAGACGCCCAGAAAACCAUAAACCACAAGACGGCAGAGACAAAAGCAGCCGAUCCACCAGCUGAGAAUUCGUCCUGAGGCUGCGCAAGGCGGAGCUGAGUAA
This is an RNA transcript of Lemur catta (Ring-tailed lemur), 1071 nucleotides long. It is a transcript of the gene named Y-box-binding protein 1-like, with no coding region annotated. NCBI's taxonomy places the organism in Eukaryota, Metazoa, Chordata, Mammalia, Primates, Lemuridae. The transcript has 2 exons. The record is from RefSeq and is a predicted model, not a curated record.